CCUAUUAAGUCGUUUUGCAUGAUAGGAACUUCAAAUUAAUAAUCGGCACCGUUGAAAUUGAUCUACACAAUUAGAAAUGUUUAGAAAUCAAAUUUUGUAAUAUUUAGAAAUCAUUAUCAAGUUCAUCUUAAGAGUUGAAAAAUGAACAGUCAUAAAUGAAUAGCCUUCUUAAAAUAGAGGUUAGACUUUCUCAAUUCAUAAUCAGAGUUAUCAAACAUUAUCUAAAUAGUAUAAAGAAUUUUCUAUCAAAAAUUCAAGCAAUUUGGAUUGUUCUACACCGUUAAACAAGCAAACGGCUCAUAUAGACCGUCAAAAAUUGUCGAUUUUACGACACUUUGAUCACCAUAUAAAUAAUUUUUAAAAUUUAUGAAAUUUAGUGUUUAGAUAUUUCAAAUACUCUAGAUCAACUUCAACGGCUCCGAUCAUCGAUUCGGAAUUUCUAUCAUCAAAAACCAUUUGAUAGGACAAGUGCUACUAUCCUAUUAAUAGGAUAGUAGCCCUA
This 502-nucleotide long non-coding RNA is filed under the name Ananas comosus (pineapple). Its description in RNAcentral is "long non-coding RNA (ACOM_LNC005723)". Lineage: Eukaryota; Viridiplantae; Streptophyta; Magnoliopsida; Poales; Bromeliaceae. The record is from RNAcentral.